CCAGAACUGGCUCAACUCCCAUCAUGCCAAGUUCCCAGAGGAGAUCACCCAGCUCAUCACGCUAGAGCACUUUUACAAGGGGCUCCCCGAAGACAAGGUGACGACGCAUUCGUAUGUCAUCCAUAUCAACUUUUGAUGCCACUUUCUGCACCUACCAUGGUGACCACGGGUAACGGGGAAUCAGGGUUCGAUUCUGGAGAGGGAGCCUGAGAAACGGCUACCACAUACAAGGAAGGCAGCAGGCAGGCAAAUGACCCACUCCCGACGCGGGAAGGUUGUGACAACAACUAAUACUGGACUCUUUAGAGGCCCUGUAAUUGUAAUGAGUCUACUUGAAAUCCUUUAACUCUGAUCAAUUGGAGGGCAAGUCUGGUGCAGAGUGACUGACCUGUGCGUGCUGCAGAUGAAACUCCACUAUCGCCUGCU
RNAcentral lists this ribosomal RNA (426 nucleotides) under Pelobates cultripes (western spadefoot toad). It matches the Rfam family "Eukaryotic small subunit ribosomal RNA", at positions 203 to 590 of the family's 1831-position model. Lineage: Eukaryota; Metazoa; Chordata; Amphibia; Anura; Pelobatidae. The record is from RNAcentral.